This is a non-coding RNA of Lachnospiraceae bacterium 7_1_58FAA, 162 nucleotides long. Lineage: Bacteria; Bacillati; Bacillota; Clostridia; Lachnospirales; Lachnospiraceae. The record is from Rfam.
CGUGGAUAAAACCCGAAACCGCUCUUUUGAUGCUUUUGCACGGACGCUUCUUGCAUGGUGGGAGGAUAUUGUGCUUAAUCCUAUUUCAUGUGUCAAGGCAAAGCAGUUUAGGCGCACUCUAUAUUACAACUGUACGAAAGGCGAAUAACUAUUUAUGACAAG